UACAGAGGGGGCAAGCGUUGUUCGGAAUUACUGGGCGUAAAGGGCGCGUAGGCGGCCUGCUAAGUCGAACGUGAAAUCCCCGAGCUCAACUCGGGAACUGCGUCCGAUACUGACAGGCUUGAAUCCGGGAGAGGGAUGCGGAAUUCCAGGUGUAGCGGUGAAAUUCGUAGAUAUCGGGAGGAACACCGGUGGCGAAGGCGGCGACCUGGGUAGAUACUGACGCUGAGGUGCGAAAGCGUGGGGAGCAAACAGG
Molecule: ribosomal RNA, 253 nt
Filed under: uncultured bacterium
Lineage: Bacteria
Description: partial 16S ribosomal RNA
Rfam family: Bacterial small subunit ribosomal RNA
Source: RNAcentral